UGACAGUACUCUACGGGGAGGCAGCAGUGGGGGAAUAUUGCACAAUGGGCGCAAGCCUGAUGCAGCCAUGCCGCGUGUGUGAAGAAGGACCUUCGGGUUGUAAAGCACUUUCAGUCGUGAGGAAGGUAGUGUAGUUAAUAGCUGCAUUAUUUGACGUUUAGCGACAGAAGAAGCACCGGCUAACUCCGUGCCAGCAGCCGCGGUAAUACGGAGGGUGCGAGCGUUAAUCGGAAUUACUGGGCGUAAAGCGCAUGCAGGUGGUUUGUUAAGUCAGAUGUGAAAGACCCGGGGCUCAACCUCGGAAUAGCAUUUGAAACUGGCAGACUAGAGUACUGUAGAGGGGGGUAGGAAUUUCAGGUGUAGUCGGUGAAAUGCGUAGAGAUCUGAAGGAAUACCGGUGGCGAAGGCGGCCCCCUGGACAGAUACUGACACUCAGAUGCGAAAGCGUGGGGAGCAAACAGGAUUAGAUACCCUGGUAG
Molecule: ribosomal RNA, 479 nt
Filed under: uncultured bacterium
Lineage: Bacteria
Description: bacterial SSU rRNA
Rfam family: Bacterial small subunit ribosomal RNA
Source: RNAcentral